This 378-nucleotide long non-coding RNA is filed under the name Medicago truncatula (barrel medic). RNAcentral describes it as "lncRNA gene5553". Lineage: Eukaryota; Viridiplantae; Streptophyta; Magnoliopsida; Fabales; Fabaceae. The record is from RNAcentral.
AUGAAAAGUCUGGUAACUAUUGCCAUCAUCUCCCACAUAAAACGUUAUCUUCAAGAUCUGAUGUCCCUAAAUCACUUUUUACAAAUUUAGCGGCACCACCUUCUUCAUCAAGUUCGUCUCUCGACAAAAUUGUACGGUGUUGAAGUAAGAUUCGAGCAAUAGUUUGGUGGGGUUUGGGGUUAUUGAAGAUGAAGAAAUAUAUAGAGAAAGUAAAAAACCAUUUUUUGGAAAUCAAAAACCCAUUUUUUUCAUAGAGAAAGAACUCAGUUUUAAGAGAAGCAUUUCUUUGGCUUGGUGUAGUCUGGUACUGUGGUAGUUCUUUCUUACGGGAAGAUUUUUGUAUUGAUUAUUAGGAGUGGGGUUUAAUGAGUCAGGCAC